Molecule: long non-coding RNA, 1452 nt
Organism: Prosopis cineraria
Lineage: Eukaryota; Viridiplantae; Streptophyta; Magnoliopsida; Fabales; Fabaceae
Exons: 3
Source: RefSeq, a predicted model, not a curated record
CCGACAUGAGCUGCCCUAAUUUUUUUUCUGUCGGUUUGUGUUUCUGCUCUUCACCAUCAGCUUCCUCUCCACUAUUGAUUUUCUCUACUCGCCGUUGGCCUAUGUUUUUCCUCAUCUUCACGUUCAUCCAUUGCAGUGGGUAGCUCACUAGAUCCUUCUCCCUUGUCACCGUCCCUUGUCUUCUUCCUUGCCUUGGGUCAGCGUGUAAAGCUCAUCUCUUUUCCUUCUUCGACAUCGGCCACGUGUUGAUUUAAAAUUUUGGCCACUGUACUUUGGUUUAGGAUCUUUGCCAUCGGCUUCCUCUAUUUGCGUUGCUGUUUCGCAGUUGAAACUGGGAGAUUGCUGGAUUCGCUCCCUUGUUUGGUCGUUCUUUGCCUCUUCCCUGUUCGUGGCUGACAGUAAUGCGUGGUGCUGUCUCUUCUUUGAUUUUUGUUGCUGUGGAUUAGUGUAAGAGGUUCCUUUCUUCUUCCCCUGUUCAGCACAGCGAAUUCGUCCUUCCUCCUUUCUUAUUCUACCGUAAUUGAUUGAAGUGUCUAGAGAAAGAGGAUCUUGAUAAAAGGGAUAAGGAGUAAGUUAUAAAUUUUGAGGAGUAUUUCAGGUGGCAUGUGACUUGUGCAUCAAUUGGGCAAUUGAGGUCAACACUCCUUGAGGACAAUGGCUGAUGGUUUGCACGUGAAUUAUGAUUAUUUUGAGGGAUUAGAUCAGCUAAAAUGAUGUGGAUGACACAUGGGAAAUUAGGCACACAUUGGAAUCAUCUACAAACUAAUAGGAAGUUGCCACCUUGCAAGUGUGACAAGCUCCCAUUUACAUUUUAAUUUCUUUUUCCUUAUUUUAAUUAAGCUUCAGCUGAUGGGAGACACCAAGGAGCACGCCAUUUUAAGUCCCAAAUGGGAUCCAACACAUAUCUCAUUCAUCUUCCACAUUCUCUCUCUCUUGUUCAUAGUGUUCUUCAUUUUCUCUCUUUUGUUCUUCAUUUUCCAGCAUCCUAACCUCCAUUUUCAGUCACCAAACCUCCACAAAACUCAUACCAUUUUUCUCCUCUCUUCAUUUUCGUUCCAUCCCUUCCAUUUUCACAAGGAUUGAAGCUCAUUUCCAUCAUUCAAGAGCUAUGGAGUUUGGCCUUCACAAGCAAUCACUAGGGUUUUUGAAGAUGAAGAUUGGCUAAGUUUCUUUGUGGAAUCCUAGAGAGAUGAAGAUGGAGGAUGAGUCUUGAGCUUCAAAUUGGCUAAGUUCUUUUGUUUCCUAUCCUCUUCUCUUUUUACUAGAUAGUUAGAUUCCUUAAUCUAGGGUCUAAUCAUCUUAGCUUAUAAAUUCUAAUUUGAAUUUGAUGUUGAUGUAAAGAGAGAGGAUUGUUUCAUUUAAUUUCUUCCUUGGACAGCCAUGACUGAAUUUUGCCACUCUUUGUUUGGCACAUAAUCUUGUGUUUUUCAAUUAGUGAAUUUCUUGUGUUAA